ACCGAUGAUGGGGAUUACAACAUCAAGCUGCGCAACUUGACCCGUUUCCUGGAUGAAGACGGCGACAAGGUCAAGAUCACGCUGCGUUUCCGCGGCCGUGAAAUGGCUCACCAGGACAUCGGCGUACGCAUGCUGGAACGUCUGAAGCAAGACCUGGAGCCGUACGGACAGGUCGAGCAGUGGCCUAAGAUGGAAGGGCGCCAGAUGAUCAUGAUCAUUGGCCCCAAGAAGAAAAAGUAAUUCGAUUUUAGGCGAGCUGGAUGAGCAAUCGUCCGGAUCGCCCAAAAGCAGCAGGCCAGAUUCUGCUGCGAAAUUCAGUUGCGGU
This 325-nucleotide unclassified non-coding RNA is filed under the name Collimonas sp. OK412. Its description in RNAcentral is "Long range pseudoknot". Lineage: Bacteria; Pseudomonadati; Pseudomonadota; Betaproteobacteria; Burkholderiales; Oxalobacteraceae. The record is from RNAcentral.